RNAcentral lists this ribosomal RNA (440 nucleotides) under uncultured bacterium. RNAcentral describes it as "partial 16S ribosomal RNA". It matches the Rfam family "Bacterial small subunit ribosomal RNA", at positions 338 to 795 of the family's 1533-position model. The record is from RNAcentral.
CCUACGGGAGGCAGCAGUGGGGAAUAUUGCACAAUGGGGGAAACUCUGAUGCAGCGAUGCCGCGUGAGUGAAGAAGGCUUUCGGUAUGUAAAGCUCUAUCAGCAGGGAAGAAAAUGACGGUACCUGAUUAAGAAGCCCCGGCUAACUACGUGCCAGCAGCCGCGGUAAUACGUAGGGGGCACGCUUUAACCGGAUUUACUGGGUGUAAAGUGAGCGUAGACGGCAGCACAAGUCUGGCGUGAAAUGCCCGGGCUUAACCCCGGAACUGCUUUGGAAACUGUGCAGCUAGAGUGCAGGAGAGGUAAGUGGAAUUCCAUGUGUAGCGGUGAAAUGCGUAGAGAUUAGGAGGAACACCAGUGGCGAAGGCGGCUGACUGGACUGUAACUGACGUUGAGGCUCGAAAGCGUGGGGAGCAAACAGGAUUAGAUACCCUAGUAGUC